RNAcentral lists this ribosomal RNA (467 nucleotides) under uncultured bacterium. RNAcentral describes it as "partial 16S ribosomal RNA". It matches the Rfam family "Bacterial small subunit ribosomal RNA", at positions 28 to 507 of the family's 1533-position model. The record is from RNAcentral.
GACGAACGCUGGCGGCGUGCUUAACACAUGCAAGUCGAACGGAAAGGCCUCUUUCGGGGGGUACUCGCGUGGCGCACGGGUGAGUAACACGUGAGUAACCUGCCCUUGUCUCUGGGAUAACUCCAGGAAACUGUGGCUAAUACCCGAUAGGAGCUCCUGCUGCGUGGUGUGGGUUGGGGAGAUUCGGUGGGUGGGGAGGGACUCGCGGGUUAUCUGCUUGUUGGUGGGGUAGUGUCUUACCAAGGCUUUGUCGGGUAGCCGGCCUGAGAGGGUGGACGGCCACAUUGGGGCUGAGGUACGGCCCAGACUCCUACGGGGGGCAGCAGGGGGGAAUAUUGCACAAUGGGGGGGAGCCUGAUGCAGCAACGCCGUGUGCGGGAUGACGGGCUUCGGGUUGGAAACCGCUUUCGCUCAUGACGAAGCUUUGUGUGACGGUAGUGGGUAAAGAAGCACCGGCUAACUACGUG